UGCAAGUCGAGCGAAUGGAUUAGAGAGCUUGCUCUUAUGAAGUUAGCGGCGGACGGGUGAGUAACACGUGGGUAACCUGCCCAUAAGACUGGGAUAACUCCGGGAAACCGGGGCUAAUACCGGAUAACAUUUUGAACCGCAUGGUUCGAAAUUGAAAGGCGGCUUCGGCUGUCACUUAUGGAUGGACCCGCGUCGCAUUAGCUAGUUGGUGAGGUAACGGCUCACCAAGGCAACGAUGCGUAGCCGACCUGAGAGGGUGAUCGGCCACACUGGGACUGAGACACGGCCCAGACUCCUACGGGAGGCAGCAGUAGGGAAUCUUCCGCAAUGGACGAAAGUCUGACGGAGCAACGCCGCGUGAGUGAUGAAGGCUUUCGGGUCGUAAAACUCUGUUGUUAGGGAAGAACAAGUGCUAGUUGAAUAAGCUGGCACCUUGACGGUACCUAACCAGAAAGCCACGGCUAACUACGUGCCAGCAGCCGCGGUAAUACGUAGGUGGCAAGCGUUAUCCGGAAUUAUUGGGCGUAAAGCGCGCGCAGGUGGUUUCUUAAGUCUGAUGUGAAAGCCCACGGCUCAACCGUGGAGGGUCAUUGGAAACUGGGAGACUUGAGUGCAGAAGAGGAAAGUGGAAUUCCAUGUGUAGCGGUGAAAUGCGUAGAGAUAUGGAGGAACACCAGUGGCGAAGGCGACUUUCUGGUCUGUAACUGACACUGAGGCGCG
This 720-nucleotide ribosomal RNA is filed under the name Bacillus thuringiensis. RNAcentral describes it as "bacterial SSU rRNA". It matches the Rfam family "Bacterial small subunit ribosomal RNA", at positions 56 to 755 of the family's 1533-position model. Lineage: Bacteria; Bacillati; Bacillota; Bacilli; Caryophanales; Bacillaceae. The record is from RNAcentral.